GACUAAACAACGUUAACAAUACUGGCUCCCGUUCGAUCACCAAAGUAAAGUAGCGUCGAUCCUGGUCAGUACUUAGAUGGGGAACCGCUAGGGAACACCGAGUACUGUAAG
Molecule: non-coding RNA, 111 nt
Organism: Acanthosepion pharaonis
Lineage: Eukaryota; Metazoa; Mollusca; Cephalopoda; Sepiida; Sepiidae
Source: the annotation of a GenBank genome assembly